CUGUUACCACGGCACAGCCCGUCGAAAGGCGGAUUAAUGCCGUAUGUGGUCCUUUGCGGGCAUCUAAUUAGGACUAAAGGUUCGGCGGUAACGGAUGGGGAUGCGUCCGAUUAGCUAGACGGCGGGGUAACGGCCCACCGUGGCGACGAUCGGUAGGGGUUCUGAGAGGAAGGUCCCCCACACUGGAACUGAGACACGGUCCAGACUCCUACGGGAGGCAGCAGUGAGGAAUAUUGGUCAAUGGGCGCAAGCCUGAACCAGCCAAGUAGCGUGAGGGAAGACUGCCCUAUGGGUUGUAAACCUCUUUUGUGCGGGGAUAAAGUGUGGGACGUGUCCCAUAUUGCAGGUACCGCACGAAUAAGGACCGGCUAAUUCCGUGCCAGCAGCCGCGGUAAUACGGAAGGUCCGGGCGUUAUCCGGAUUUAUUGGGUUUAAAGGGAGCGCAGGCCGUCCUUUAAGCGUGCUGUGAAAUGCCGCGGCUCAACCGUGGCACUGCAGCGCGAACUGGAGGACUUGAGUACGCACGAGGUAUGCGGAAUUCGUGGUGUAGCGGUGAAAUGCUUAGAUAUCACGAAGAAGUCCGAUUG
RNAcentral lists this ribosomal RNA (587 nucleotides) under uncultured Prevotellaceae bacterium. RNAcentral's name for it is "bacterial SSU rRNA". It matches the Rfam family "Bacterial small subunit ribosomal RNA", at positions 130 to 715 of the family's 1533-position model. The record is from RNAcentral. Lineage: Bacteria; Pseudomonadati; Bacteroidota; Bacteroidia; Bacteroidales; Prevotellaceae.